ACUCCUACGGGAGGCAGCAGUGGGGAAUAUUGCACAAUGGGCGCAAGCCUGAUGCAGCCAUGCCGCGUGUAUGAAGAAGGCCUUCGGGUUGUAAAGUACUUUCAGCAGUGAGGAAGGUGGAGUCGUUAAUAGCGGCCUCAUUUGACGUUAGCUGCAGAAGAAGCACCGGCUAACUCCGUGCCAGCAGCCGCGGUAAUACGGAGGGUGCGAGCGUUAAUCGGAAUUACUGGGCGUAAAGCGCGCGUAGGCGGCUUGAUAAGCCGGUUGUGAAAGCCCAGGGCUGCAACCUGGGAACGGCAUCCGGAACUGAUCAGGCUAGAGUGCAGGAGAGGGAAGGUAGAAUUCCCGGUGUAGCGGUGAAAUGCGUAGAGAUCGGAGGAAU
Molecule: ribosomal RNA, 382 nt
Filed under: uncultured bacterium
Lineage: Bacteria
Description: bacterial SSU rRNA
Rfam family: Bacterial small subunit ribosomal RNA
Source: RNAcentral